UAAAAACCCCGACUUCGGAAGGGGUGUAUUUAUUAGAUACAAAACCAAUGCCCUUCGGGGCUCUUUGGUGAUUCAUGAUAACUAUACGAAUCGCACGGCCUUGCGCCGGCGAUGGUUCAUUCAAAUUUCUUCCCUAUCAACUUUCGAUGUUUGGGUAUUGGCCAAGCAUGGUUGCAACGGGUAACGGAGGGUUAGGGCUCGACCCCGGAGAAGGAGCCUGAGAAACGGCUACUACAUCCAAGGAAGGCAGCAGGCGCGCAAAUUACCCAAUCCCGACUCGGGGAGGUAGUGACAAUAAAUACUGAUACAGGGCCCUUUCGGGCCUUGUAAUUGGAAUGAGUACAAUUUAAAUCCCUUAACGAGGAACAAUUGGAGGGCAAGUCUGGUGCCAGCAGCCGCGGUAAUUCCAGCUCCAAUAGCGUAUAUUAAAGUUGUUGUGGUUAAAAAGCUCGUAGUUGAACCUUGGGCCUGGCUGGCCGGUCCGCCUCACCGCGUGCACUGGUCCGGCCGGGCCUUUCCCUCUGUGGAACCCCAUACCCUUCACUGGGCGUGGGCGGGGAAACAGGAAUUUACUUU
Molecule: ribosomal RNA, 576 nt
Filed under: uncultured eukaryote
Lineage: Eukaryota
Description: SSU rRNA
Rfam family: Eukaryotic small subunit ribosomal RNA
Source: RNAcentral